CUACGGGUGGCAGCAGUGGGGAAUAUUGCACAAUGGGCGCAAGCCUGAUGCAGCCAUGCCGCGUGUAUGAAGAAGGCCUUCGGGUUGUAAAGUACUUUCAGCGGGGAGGAAGGGAGUAAAGUUAAUACCUUUGCUCAUUGACGUUACCCGCAGAAGAAGCACCGGCUAACUCCGUGCCAGCAGCCGCGGUAAUACGGAGGGUGCAAGCGUUAAUCGGAAUUACUGGGCGUAAAGCGCACGCAGGCGGUUUGUUAAGUCAGAUGUGAAAUCCCCGGGCUCAACCUGGGAACUGCUUCUGAUACUGGCAAGCUUGAGUCUCGUAGAGGGGGGUAGUAUUCCAGGUGUAGCGGUGAAAUGCGUAGAGAUCUGGAGGAAUGCCGGUGGCGAAGGCGGCCCCCUGGACGAAGACUGACGCUCAGGUGCGAAAGCGUGGGGAGCAAACAGGAUUAGAUACCCGCGUAGUC
RNAcentral lists this ribosomal RNA (464 nucleotides) under uncultured bacterium. RNAcentral's name for it is "partial 16S ribosomal RNA". It matches the Rfam family "Bacterial small subunit ribosomal RNA", at positions 339 to 795 of the family's 1533-position model. The record is from RNAcentral.